UAGCUCACUGGUAGAGUGCAUGUUUAGCAUGCAUGAGGUCCUGGGUUCAAUCCCCAG
Molecule: transfer RNA, 57 nt
Filed under: Camelus ferus (Wild Bactrian camel)
Lineage: Eukaryota; Metazoa; Chordata; Mammalia; Artiodactyla; Camelidae
Rfam family: tRNA
About the family: Transfer RNA (tRNA) molecules are approximately 80 nucleotides in length. Their secondary structure includes four short double-helical elements and three loops (D, anti-codon, and T loops). Further hydrogen bonds mediate the characteristic L-shaped molecular structure. tRNAs have two regions of fundamental functional importance: the anti-codon, which is responsible for specific mRNA codon recognition, and the 3' end, to which the tRNAs corresponding amino acid is attached (by aminoacyl-tRNA synthetases). tRNAs cope with the degeneracy of the genetic code in two manners: having more than one tRNA (with a specific anti-codon) for a particular amino acid; and 'wobble' base-pairing, i.e. permitting non-standard base-pairing at the 3rd anti-codon position.
Source: Rfam by way of RNAcentral